This 17595-nucleotide long non-coding RNA is filed under the name Solanum tuberosum (potato). RNAcentral's name for it is "long non-coding RNA (STUB_LNC002805)". The record is from RNAcentral. Lineage: Eukaryota; Viridiplantae; Streptophyta; Magnoliopsida; Solanales; Solanaceae.
AAGUCACCAACUUUUAAUUCUUUAAAUCAUCCCAUUCAUAUAGCUUCUUUUUAUUUCUAGAUUUUUAGUAGAAUAUUUAAAUCAUCAUAUUAAUAUUAUCUAUGAGUUAUAUUGACUAUUUUUUUUAAUAUUUAAUUAAUUAAAAACACAAACUUUAACUAAAAUGGGGAGUAAAUUAAUUAUUUAUGGUUAUUACGUGAAACUAGCUUUAGUACUUUACUAGAGGCGCAGUGGUUUUUGUCUAAAUUAGAAUGCAGCAGUAUGUUUCCAUCUGGUUUUCCAUAUUCCUGGAAUAGGGGACCUGUACCCACCAUCAAGUCCGGAUUUUUCCAUGUAAAAUUAAGGGUAUGCAUCGGGUGUAUAUAAUAGCAAAUUAUUAAUUCAAAUUAAAUGCUAUAAAUAGAUUUUGAUUUAAUUGUAUCCUAUAGCAAACUAUUGCUAUUUUCGCCACUCUCCCUGGUGGAAUCUCGCUCGCCACUCUCGUUUGGUGGCAGUUUCGCUCGCCUCUCUCGCUUUUAUACACAAACACAAAUGUAUAAAAUGUGUUUGUGUUUGUAUAAAGCGAGAUGACAUUAUAUAUAUACAUAUUUUUUCGUUCCCCUUUCUCCCCUCUCCCAGAUCUCGCUCGCCACCCUCGCCUCUCUCACUUAUACAAACAGAAACGAAAUGUAUAAAUUGCGAUUCUGUUUGUAUAAAGCGGGAGAAAAUUGUAUAUACACAUGCAAAUACGUAUAUCUUCAUCCUAUACACUUAGAAUUAUACAAUACAAAUAUUUUCAUACCCAGUUUUCUUUUGCCUUUCUCUCUUUCUCGUUUUAUACAUACACAGAUUAUACAAUUGAUCUUUUGUUAUACAACUGCUUUCUUUUUGUAUAUGUAUAGCGAAUUAUACAACUGUCUUCUUUGUAUAUGUAUAGUGAAUUAUACAACUGUUUUUUGUAUAUGUAUAGCGAAUUAUACAUAUAUAUGUUUGCUAUGGAGCUCAAUUAUGCAAACUUUGCUAUAGCAUACAAAUAUGAAUUUUGCGUUUGCUAUAUGUGAAAGUUGCUCUUAUUUUUAUUAGUUCGAUUUAUUAAUUAACUUUUAAUUAUGCUAAAUCAAUAAUUAAAUUAAUAGGAUAUCUCUUAUUGAUUUUCGAUUUAUUAGUUAUGGAUGCUUAAUGAUUUGAUUUCUAAUUUAACCAAUAAAAAAAGAUACUCAUAAAAUAAAUAUAUAAAUUCUCUAAUAAUUUAAUAUGACAUGACAAUAUAAUAUAACUUUACGCAAUACUUAUAAAAUAGAGUUGUGGCUGUCAAUGCUAACAUAAACAUGAUUCUAAUGAAGUCCAACCCUUAAAAGUAGCAUAUAGGGGAGGAAUAUGAAAAGCAAAUAGUAUACAAGUGAAGUAUCAGAGAGAGGUAGAAUCACCACAUAUCAUGGAGGAGGUAGGCCCCAAAAGUUUGAGAUGGCUCCUGGUUUUCGGGAACAAAACUGGUUUGUUUUCACGACUGUGGGCGGGCUCAAUCUGUGGAUUACUGGCGUCGUUACUCACUCCCAUAAGCUAGGAGUAAUUCUUACGAGUCAUUUGGUAGAGUGUAUUAGUAAAAAUAAUGUAUGCAUUAAUUUUGUAUAUUAGUAGUUCCUUGUUUGGUCCUCCAUGUUGAGUUAAUUCUACUGUUGAGUUAAUUAUUCUAACUUUAUUAAUUAAUGUCAUGCAAAGAGACAAAUGCAAAAUACGUUUCAAAGGUGAAGAUACAUCCGUUCCAAACAAAAGUGAUGUAAUGGCCUUUAAUGCCAUUAGCCUUGACAAUAUGUUUCUAAAAUUAAACUCUCUUACUUGCAACUCCUUUUCUUGCAAAUCAUAUAUAAGAAGAGGCUUUGGUGAACAUAACACAACAUUACCAACAUAAACAAAAAGAAGAGAAAAACUUCUUCUUCCUUUCUCCUUAUUCUUAGAAUAUUGUUGGGCAAUUGGUUUUGAGCAACCUCCAAACUCUCAACCACGAGUGCAUGUGUCUGAGAGUAACUGUGGAACCUUGGGGAGCGAUCGGCUACAACGAUUUGCACCGGAGUUGAGCCGAAAUCACUUUCAAGGCAGUGGCUUGCCACAACACAGUGUUUGUGAUAAGUUAUUUACUACUUUAUAAUUCCAAUCAAAUAUCAAUAUUAUAGUAUUUUUCCCAACAAUUUGAAAGCGAUUUACUAACAUACAAUAUUGAUAAAUGGCUAUUUCUUUGAACAAAUUUUUUUUUGAUUUGUCAAAAUUUGAGCCUUUGGAUGGAAGUAAUUUUAAACGAUGAUCACAAAUUUUUUUAAUUUUCUUUGAACAAUUAGAAGUUGAUUAUGUUUUAUUUAAAGAACCUUCUAUGAAUGGUUCUAACACCACUAUUGAUUCUAGCAAUGUUAUGGUUGUUGAUGAUGUUGUUAAAAAGAAGUUUGAAAAGGAUAACAAAAUUGUGAGAGGACAUUUGUUAAAUCAUAUGAAAAAUUCUUUAUUUGAUUUAUUUUUAACCUAUAAAUCUACCAAAGAAAUAUGGGAUAGUUUGAAAAAGAAAUAUGGUACUGAUGAUGCAGGAAAGAAAAAAUAUAUUGUCGGUCAGUGGAUUAAAUUCCAAAUGGUUGAUAAUAAGUCAAUAAUGAAACAAGUUCACUAAUAUGAGAACUUGACUGCUGAUGUUUUCAACGAGGACAUGAAGAUGUGUGAGAUAUUUCUGCUUGAAAAAUUCCCACCAUCUUGGAGUGAUUAUAGAAAUCAAUUAAAACAUAAGAAAAAGAAUUUAACUCUCCAAGAACUUAUUCGUCACAUGAGGACUGAAGAGGCGAACCGUCUCAAAGAUAAGAUGGAAGAAUUUUUCUCUUAAUUCUUCUAAAGCUAAUCUUGUUGAAUCUUCUGGUACUAUUGUGAAAGACAGGUUUAAAGGCAGACAGAAGAAAGUCUCGAAAAAGGAACAUAUGAAGAAGAAAAAUCAAUUCAACAAGCCGGAGAGCCAAAUUCAAAAAUUUAAGAGUCCUUGUUUUGCUUGUGGAAAAGUUAGUCACAGGGUUGCCAAGUGCUAUCAAAGAAAGAGGCAGGACUCAAAGUAGGAAGGACAAAAUGAUGUCCAACCUCGUCUUGCUGAGGGUAAUGAAGUGAUUGUUGUUGUAGUCGUUGAGGCAAAUCUGGUGGCUAACAAAACUGACUGCUUGCUGAGGGUAAUGAAGUGAUUGUUGUUGUAGUCGUUGACGCAAAUCUAGUGGCUAACAAAAUUGACUGGGUGCUAGACACAAGCGCUUCAAGGCAUUUUUGGCCAAUAAGAAUUUAUUUUAUGACUUUGAGGAGUCCAUUGAUGGCGAGUGUGUAUAUAUGGGUAACUCUACUACUGAUGUAGUAAUGGGUAAUGAAAAAGAUUUACUUAAAUUAACUUCCCUUGAACAAUGUUUUGUAUGUUCCCUCCCUCCGUAGAAACUUAGUUUCCGGAGCACCUCUCAACAAAGUAGGCCUUAAACUUGUUUUGAAGCUGAUAAAAUGAUUAUUUCUCGUGGAGGAGACUCCGUUGGGAAGGGAUAUCUUAGUGGGGGAUUAUUUGUAUUGAACAUUGUUCAAGAGAUUGUCAAUAACGCAAGUAUUUCAAAUUCUGCUUAUAUUAUCGAGUUUAUUAAUUUAUGGCAUGGUAGACUAGGUCAUGUUAAUAUUGCAUCUAUUAAAAGACUUAGAAAAAUGGAAUUAAUUCCUAUGAUAAAAACUGAUGAGUUUUCUAAAUGUCUUGUGUGUAGAAGCAAAGCAUGCCAAGAAACCUUUCAAAUUUGUUAUUAGUAGAAAGACCGAAUUACUUGAACUAAUACAUUCAGAUUUAGCAAAUUUCAAGAACAUUGCUAGCAAAGGUGGAAAAAAGUAUUACGUUACUUUUGUCGAUGACUUUUCUAGAUACACUAAGGUAUAUCUUCUUAAUUCUAAAGAUGAGGCUGAAAGCAUGUUUUUGAAAUUCAAAGCAGAAGUGGAAAAUCAAUUAGACAGGAAAAUCAAGAGAUUUAGAUCGGAUAGGGGCAGUGAAUAUUGUACUAAAACUCUAAAGGAUUUUUGUGAGAAAAUGGUAUUAUACAUGAGGUUAGUGCUCCCUAUACUCCCCAACAAAAUGGUGUAGCCGAACGAAAAAAUAGAACCCUUAAAGAAAUGAUGAAUUUUAUGCUUCUAAGCUCUGGUCUAUCUGAAAAUAUGUGGGGAGAAACAGUCUUGCUUGCGUGCUAUAUUCUUAAUAGAGUCCCUCAUAAGAAGUUAGACAAGACCUCAUAUGAGUUGUGGAAAGGAUUUGCCCCUAACUUGAAAUUUUUGAAAGUGUGGGGGUGUUUGACUAAGGUUGGUCUACCUGAUUUUAAACGAGUAAAUGUUGGUUCUAAGACUUUUGAUAUUGUCUUUAUUGGUUAUGCUCAAAAUAGUGCUGCAUAUAGAUUUAUGUCUCUCAAUGAUCACACUAUUUGUGAAUCUAGCGAUGCAAAAAAUUUUGAGCAUAUUUUUUCUUUGAAAAAUAAUAUGUUGAGUGAUGUGCAAAAUAAUGCUUCUACAUCUAUGUCUGUUAAUUCUCAUGUUGUGCCUUCUUCUAAUGUUAUUUCUAAUGAGCAUGAAAAUGAACUUAGAAGGAGUAAAAGACGUAGAAUUGAGACAAGUUUUGAACCUGAUUUUAUCACUUCUUUCUUAACUGAAAAUUUGGAUAUUAAUAUUUUAAAUGAUGAAUCAGUGUCUAUCUAUUUAAUAGAAGAAGACCCUAAGACUUAUGAUGAAGCUAUGAGAUCAAUAGAUGUUAUAUUUUGGAAAGAGGUAUUAAAAGUGAAUUAGACUCUAUAGUUUCUAAUCACACUUGGAACUUGUAUGAUUUACCUAAAGGUUGUAAACUCAUAAGUAGCAAGUGGAUAUUUAAGAAGAAAUUGAGACAUGAUGGUACAAUUAAUAAAUAUAAGGCUAGAUUUGUUAUUAGGGGUUUUAACCAAAAGAAAGGAGCUCAAUUCAAUCAAAUCAUGAAAUUAGGCUGGGCUGGCCCAAUAGUCCAAGCCCAUGCCUGUGGCUAUAUUUCAAUGGAAAAUUUUUCAAAAUGUCAAAAUUUUGAUAUUUAAUAGGAUCUCUUAGCCAUACUCUUCUUUUAAUAUUUAUUUAAAAUGUCAAUAUUUUAGUUUGUUAUAUAUCUUAUGUAUGUAUUUUCUUAUUUGUAUGAUUUGCAAGAAACACAAUUAUUUAAUAACAGAAAGGAGAAAAUCAGGGGAGAUAAUAUUUAAAAAAAGGAACAUAUCACUUAAAAUUCUCACCAGUUACAAUUUCAAAGAAAUCAACUUUUUUUUUAUUAUGUUUUCAUUGUAAUUGUAUACCAAUAUUUUUUACAUUUAAUGUGUUGACUUUACCUUUCAAAUUAAAUUUGAUAUUUUACUUUCAUAGUGAAAACUACAAAUCGUAUCCCAGUGAUCAAAAUUGUAUUACAUGAUUGCCAAAUAUAUUUUUCUUUUAUUUGUAUUAUAAAAAUAUCACUGAUUGUAUCCCAAUAUAAUUAAUCAUUACAUAUGAAUAUGAUUUAUGAAAGGAUACAAGAUUCUGAAAAAAAAAAUUAGCAUACAUGGUGGAAAUAAUACAAUCUAUUGAGGAAUGAUACAAUAUUCUAAAAAAAAUUAGAAGUUGGCUAUGAAAGAAACAGAGAUACAAGAUUCUGGAAAAAAAUUUAGCAUACAUAGUGGAAAUAAUACAAUCUGUUGAGGAAUGAUACAAUAUUCUAAAAAAAAAUACAAACUGGCUGUGAAAAAAAUAGAAUACAUAUAUGCUUAAGAAAUAUGAAUCAAUUUGACAUACGUACUUGAAUGACCACAAACUUAAAAGAAAUACAAUGUUCUUAAUAAAAUUACAAAUGCUGAGAAAAACAAAAAUAAUUAACAAACAAAAAUUAAUAUGAAUACAAUCCUGGUAUGAAUACAAUUCAACUUUCUUCUCUCAAUCUCUCUUUCUUCUUCUUCUUCGUCUGCUAUGUUGUUUUUUUUCUGAUUUUUUUUUUUUAUCAAACUCAAAUCCAAAUCCGUAUUCACUUGUGCAUAUAUUAGUAACCCUAUAAACAAAAUUUGAAAUUAUUAAUUAUGAAUGUAUAAAAAAUCAAACAAUAUAUGAUGUAUGAAUGCUAAUGUAUGUAGAUUACUAUAAUCUAUUAAAUCUCAAAUAUGAAAACAAAAUCACAAAAAUAAUAAUUGAACAAUAGAGUUUAAAAGACGAAAAAUUCGAAAUACAUAGAAGAGGGAAAUCUCAUAAAAUACUUGGUGAAUAUGAGAACCUCACAAAAAAAUCAAACAAUAUUAUUCAAAGACGAAAAAUCCGAAAUACAAAAUACUUGAUAAUUGUGAAAACAAAAUCACAAGACAUCUCACAAAAUACUUGUUGACUUCGAAUUUACCUUUAUCCAUGGUUGAAAAAUCUUUUGAAUUAAUUGUGAGAUUUCUUGAACAAAGUGUAGGAAAUUGGAAGAGUUGAUUUUCUUGAAUAAGGAAAGGCGAUAACAAUGGUGAAAAGGAAAGAGAGAGAAAUGAGCAAUUUGGGGUAAAACCUAGAAAGAGAGGUAAGUGGGUAAUGGGGGUAUAAUUAUUUUUAUUUUACGGAUGAGGGAGUAAAAAAGGGUCUAACUUGAGCAUGAUUUGAGAAAUAAAAGGAAAAGAAAUUAAUUAUAUUAGGAUACAAUUAAUCUUCUAAAAUAUUGACAUAUUGACAUUUUUAAUAAUUAUUUUUAAGUGUAGAUAUUUUUUAUAAUUAUAUUAGGGAUUAUGACUAGUUUGCUAAUUUUUCCUAUUUUGAUUAUUCUUUAGAUAUGACUUCUAUAAAUAGCUAUUUGUGAACUUCACCUCAUCAUAUAUGGCAAAUUAGGCACUUUCAGGACAACAAGGGUUACAACUUUCAAUUGACAAUUGGCACAAACAGCCGCAGACGUAUAAAAGUUAUAUUUUAUAAAUUUAUAAGAGAGAAAAAGUUGAUUUAUAUUUUCAAAUAAUUAUCCUACAUUAGCAAAAAUUGCUUUCAAAGCAAUGACUUGCCACCACACAAUGUUUUAUUUUAUAAGUUAUUUUUGUUCUCAUUUUGUUAUUAAUUAUCAAACUAGUUUUGAAUAUGUAGCAAGAGUUAAUGGGAAAUGGAGGGAAGAUGAAAAGAGAGGAACUUGAAAAGUUGGGAACUUGAAGAAUUGGAAACUUGAAAAGUCCUUUUAUGCUUUAGUGAAAAGGCAUUUCUCCCUCAUCGGUGGUGGAAAGAAAAAUAAAAGAGUUUAAAUAUAGAAACACUCCUAUUAAUUGUUAAAAGGGUUGGAAAGAGGGACCCCUUCGCACCGUCGUCGUCGUCGCUCGCUCGCUCGGCUUCGGCGACAAAGUUUGUUUAAAUUAUUUAUUUAAUUAAUUAAAUUAAAUUAAAUGGCCAAAACGUCAAAAUGUUUCAAUUAAUUAGUUAAUUAACCAAAAUGUUUCGGCUAUUCAGUUAAUUGACCGACCUGACUCGGAUCCGCGCGCGACCCAUUUUAUUUAAAUUCUUUUCCGUUUUAUUUAAAUUUCCCGCCGUUGGAAGUGACUGUUCUAAAAGGUUGCAACUUUCAUGAACAGUCAUGACCGUUUGAAAGGUUGCAAACUUUCGUGAAUGGUCGUGUGGAUUCUGAAAGGGUUGAUUCUUCAGAUUUAUUAAUUACGAUUUUUUCUGAUUUCUUCUUCUUCUUCUGCACAAAGUUUCUUCAUAUACUUUACUGUUAUUGAGUGGUUCGAUGAUACCAGAGUUUUGGGUAUCAAUACACUGGUGAUUGAGAUCAUUCUAUCCUGGGAGGACAUAUUCCAAAUCAAACCUCAAAUACUAGAGGGGAAUAAUUUCUUUAAGGGGGCACUGUGCAGUCAGUGGGCUUGAUCUUUUCCGUUCUGUCUUUUUCCAGAUUCUAGUAUGUUUUUCAGAUUUUAGUUGUUCUAAAUUAAUUUCUGUUCUUCUAUUUUUACUAGUUCAUUAAAACUUUGAUUACUUCGUGUUUCUGCAAAGUUUAUUGGAAUCAGAAAUUCUGUUUUAAACACAGAUUGACAACAAUUAUAACAAAUUGUUCGAUUUCAGCAGUCCCAUAAUGGAUCAAAAAGAUUUAUAUUGAAUGUCCUGCUCCUGCCUGAACUUUCCCAUCAACCAAACCAUACUCCAUUAAUGCAUUCUUUUAGUUUUGUAUAGGUCUUCGAUCAAUAUUGAUCUCGGAGGUUUUGGUACUUCAACUCGUCCAAUGUACUUUAUUUUUCUUUAAAUAAACACAAUGGGGGUCGAUGCCGAAUCUGUUAUGAAUAUGAGAAUCAAAAGUUACGCAUUGUUAUCAAUGUAACAGUAAAGCUAGUUACAAAAUGUUAGUUACAAAAGUUUGUUAUAAUGUUAGUUAAAGGUAACUCUAGUUAAUUUAGACUAACUAGCUUGUACAGUUAAGAUACACUAUAAAUAGAGUAGUGUAGGCAUUAUUUGUAUUGUAUCAGAUUAUCAUUCAAUACAGUGAAAAGUUCUUCUUCUUUGAUUGAAUCAUCUGCUCUAUAAUUCUUCAUGGUAUCAGAGCCAUGGAUGCUCUCCUGAUGUAUUCCGCAAAUUAGGUUGUUAAACUCUUCUGCUUGCAGUGCACACGAAAGGCUCUCCAACAGAGUCUGCAUUAUCUUAGAAGCAGUCCUGUUUUUACUUCGUUUGUUGCUCCUGAUUCAGUGAAGAUCUUCAUCAAUGACGAUAGGUGAAGGCUCCAAUCCUGACACUCUUACUCCUUCAGCUGGUGGUAGAGAAGCCAUAGUUGAUUCACAUCAUCCUUUGUUUCUUCAAGCGUGUGACACUCCAGGUAGUUCACUGGUCUCUACUCAAUUAAUUGGAUCUGAAAACUAUUCUUUGUGGAGCAGGUCUAUGAAGAUAGGUCUGCUAGGCAAAUGUAAAAUAGGAUUUGUGGAUGGAUCUAGUUCUAAAGAGAAGUUUCAAGCUUCCUUCCAUAAUAUGUGGGAGAAAUGUAAUGCAAUUGUCCUUUCAUGGAUCAUGAUUUCUGUUAGUCGAGAACUUCUCAGUGGGAUAGUUUAUGCUAAUAGUGCUCAACAAGUUUGGAAUGACCUGAAGGAAAGGUUUGAUAAGGUUGAUGGAUCACGUAUAUUCUAUCUACAUAAGGAGAUUGCUACACUCACUCAAGGAAUAUUGUUUGUUUCCAUCUAUUUCUCCAGGUUUAAAGAGCUUUGGAUGGAGUUUGAUUCUCUCAUGCCCUGUCCUGGGUGUGACUGUUUAGUUUCAAAGACUUAUGCAAUUCAUUUUGAGUAUCAAAGGCUUAUGCAGUUUCUCAUAGGUCUCAAUGAGUCUUACAACCAAUGUAGAAGCCAAAUUAUGAUGAUGGAUCAUGUUCCCAGUGUGAACAAAGCCUAUUCACUAGUGAUUGUAGAAGAGAGUCAGAGGAUCCUUGGUAAGGCAAAUACUGUUGUUGAGAUGCCUUCUAACCAUGGAUACAAGAGGCUCUAGCCUUCUUUAGUGGCAGUAAUCAUACCUACUCAGGCUCCAGAGGAUCGGGAUCUGGUGGUCCUGGUACUACUGGAUCUACUUCCAGACCUAAGAAGCCAUUUAACAGUUAUUGUUUUGUGAUUACUGUAAUUGGAAAGGUCACACAAGGGAUCACUGCUACAAACUUCAUGGUUAUCCAUCUGACUGGAAAGGUAAGAAGAAAAUCAGUCCUGGUUCAACUAGCACAACUAGUUUUGCUGCUGCUAGUUCUGGUCCUAGUAGCCUCUCAAGCAGAUCUCCAUCAGGUGUUAGCAAUACUGGUGUCUCUCAUGCAUUUAUGACUAACCUGCAGCAUCAACAGUUUCAACCUCAUGCAACUUCACAGCCACAACAUCCUCAUUUCUCCCACCAGCAGUACAUGCGGAUCCUGCAAUUGCUAGAUCAGGGAAAUGGGAAGACUACCGCUGAUGCUCUUGUGUCUACCUCAGGUACAUCAGGUUUGUUUCCUACUUCCAAGUGGAUAUUUGAUUCAGGAGCUUCCAAACAUAUGGUUCAUAGUCUGCGUAUGCUCAAUCACUAUACUACCUUGUCUGAGUCUCACGAAGGAAAAAUGUAUCUUCCUACUGGCAAUCUUGCACCAGUUAGUCAUAUUGGCUCAUCUCAGAUCUUAGGAGGGGCUGAGAUCACUAAUAUGCUUCAUGUUCCUACUUUUCAAUACAACUUAUUAUCUGUUCCUAGACUAACAAAGGAGUUGAAAUGCAGUGUUAUGUUCUAUCCUAAUUUCUGCAUUUUCCAGGACCUCUCCAAUGGAAAAGUGAGGGGGAUUGGCAAGUUGGAGAAUGACAUGUAUGUGAUUACUGCUGACUGUCAUUUGCAUUCUCAAGGAGCAGAAUUGAGUUCACCUAAAGAUCAAGCUAUUGCAGUUUCUAAGUCUUGUCUUGUACCUUCUUUACAUUCAUCUAGAAUAAGUCUAUCAUUGUGGCAUAAAUGCCUAGGUCAUGUACCUUUUAAUACUCUUAGACAAUUUAGUUCUUUGCAACAGUUGCAUCCUACUACUGAUGCACCUUAUACUGUAUGCCCUUUAGCUAAACAAUCAAGACUAUCUUUUCCUUUAAGUGCUACUUCUACUACUGCUUGCUUUCAACUUUUACACGCUGAUGUAUGGGGUCCCUAUAGAGUUCCAACUCAUGAUAAUAACAGGUAUUUUUUAACCUUAGUAGAUGACUACUCAAGGUAUACCUGGAUAGUUUUGCUUCCCUCCAAAUCUGAGGUCAUAGUUGCACUCAAAAAUUUUCUUAUUAUGGUUGCAAAUGUUUUCUCUUCCUUAGUCAAAAUAUUAACGACAGAUAAUGGCUGUGAGUUUUUUAAUUCCCAAAUGACUGUUCUCCUGGAGUCUCUAGGUAUUUUACACCAAAGUUCAUGCAUAUAUACCCCUCAACAAAAUGGAGUUGUUGAAAGGAAACAUAGACAUAUACUUAAUGUUGCUAGAGCCUUGAGGUUUCAAUCUAGCAUGCCUCUUAAAUUUUGGGGUGAGUGUGCUCUUACUAGUGUCUAUUUGAUCAACAGAUUGCCUUCAUCUAUUUUACACAACAAGACAUCUUAUGAGUUGCUUUAUCUUAGAUCUCUUUCUCUUGAUCAUCUUCGAGUCUUUGCGUGUCUUGCUUUUGCUUCUGAAGUCAGAAAGGUUGACAAGUUUACUCCCAGAGCUUUCCCUACUGUGUUCUUGGGGUAUUCUACAUUACAAAAAGGGUACAAAUUGUUUUCUCUUCAUACUUAAGAGUUCUUAGUGUCCAGAGAUGUAGUUUUCAAAGAGGACAUAUUUCUCUUUACUCAAACCACUUCCUCAUGUCCUCCUUUGUUUCCUAUCUUUCAGUUUACAGAGUCCUUUACUAAGUCCACUCCAGUUCCUCCCAUUGCUACUCUUUAUUCUUCUCUUUGUCCAGCUUCUAUAGUAUCUGAAUGUCCCUUUUCUCCUGCCUAUGCAUCUGAUAUGUCUGCAACUGUUCCCUUAAGAAGAUCCUCUAGAAAUUCCAAACCUCCAAUUUGGCUUCAUGACUAUGUUACUACUCAGCCUAAGUCCACUUGUCUUUAUCCUUUAUCCAAUCAUGUCAGCUAUCGCCAUUUGUAUCCACUUUAUGGCUUAGCCUUAGCUGCAUAUUCCAGCAUCCUUAAGCCUAAGUCUUCCAUAAGGCUGCUCUUAAUCCUUUGUGGGUCGUAGCUAUGCAAGCUAAGAUCAAAGCCUUGGAAGAGAAUCAUACCUGGUCUAUCACUGAUCUUCCUUCUGAUAAACAUCCAAUUGGCUGUAAAUGGGUGUUUAAGGUGAAAUAUCUUGCAUCUGGUGCUGUUGAAAGAUACUAGGCUAGACUUGUUGCAAAGGGGUUCAAUCAGAAAGAAGGCUUGGAUUAUUCUGAAACUUUCUCCCAUGUUGCUAAGAUGGUUACUGUGCGGUCUGUUCUAGCUGUGGCCUCUGCUAAACACUGGCUUGUGUUCCAAAUGGAUGUCCAUAAUGCAUUUCUCCAAGGUGACCUGGUUGAGGAUAUGUAUACGGUUGUUCCUCCAGGCUUUUGCAGACAGGUGGAGUCUGGUAAAGUCUGCAAAUUACACAAGUCACUAUAUGGUUUAAAGCAGACACCUAGGCAAUGGAAUUUUAAACUAAUAGAAGCAUUACUUCAGCUGGGAUUUGUUCAAAGCCACUAUGACUAUUCUCUAUUUACCAGAAGUGAAAAUAAAAAGUUGAUAAUAAUUCUUGUUUAUGUUGAUGACCUUCUGAUAACUAGAAGCUGCAAGAAGCUGAUUGACAGGACCGGGAAUGAUCUGCAACUUAAAUUCAAAAUGAAAGACCUAGGAGAAUUGAAGUUUUUCCUUGGAAUUGAAUUCGCCAGAUCAAAAGAAGGUUAUAUUAUGAGCCAACGUAAGUAUGCCUUGGAACUUGUCUCAGAAAUGGGUCUAAGUGGUGCCAAGCCAGUCAACACUCCACUGGAUCCAAACCUCAGACUAACCUCUAUUGAAUAUGACUCACAUGUACAAGAGGCAAACACUACAUCAAGUGACAAACCUUUGGAAGAUAUUGGUAGAUAUCAAAGCCUUGUAGGGAAACUGUUGUAUCUAACUAUGACCAGGGUAGAUAUCUCCUUUGCAGUACAAGUUCUAAGUCAAUAUAUGCAUGCACCCAAAGAGUCUCAUAUGGAAGCUACACUUAGAGUAGUCAAAUACAUCAAGUCAGCUCCAGGUUUGGGUUUGUUUAUGCCCUCACAAGAUUCUAAUCAAUUGACUGUUUACUGUGACUCUGAUUGGGGUACUUGCUUACAAACGAGAAGAUCUGUGACUGGAUACUUAGUGAAGUUUGGAAAUGCUCUUGUAUCUUGGAAGGCAAAGAAGCAAGAAACAAUUGCUAAAAGUUCUGCAGAAGCUGAGUUUAGGAGUAUGGCAUCUGCAGUAGCUGAAAUUACUUGGCUCAUUGGCAUACACAGUGAACUAGGAGUAACCAUCAAACAACCAGUUGAUCUAUUCUGUGACAGCAAGGCUGCAAUUCAGAUUGCAGCCAACCCUAUUUUUCAUGAGCGAACUAAGCAUUUUGAUAUUGAUUGCUAUUUUGUUAGAGAGAAACUGCUUAAAAAAAUGAUUCAGACACAUCAUGUAUCCACAAAAGAUCAGCUGGCAGAUCUGCUCACAAAAGGUUUAUGGAAAGCUCCACACUCACAUCUUAUGUCCAAGCUGGGAAUGAAAGACAUUUUUCAGCCAUCAGCUUGAGGAUGGGUGUUAUGAAUAUGAGAAUCAAAAGUUACGCAUUGUGAUCAAUGUAACAGUAAAGUUAGUUACAAAAGUUUGUUAUAAUGUUAGUUAAAGGUAACUCUAGUUAAGUUAGACUAACUAGCUUGUACAGUUAAGAUACACUAUAAAUAGAGUAGUGUAGGCAUUAUUUGUAUUGUAUUAGAUUAUCAUUCAACACACAGAAAAGUUCUUCUUUGAUUGAAUCCUCUGCUCUGUAAUUCUUCAGAAUCCCCUAUCACCACCGAAGGUGAAAGCCUGGAUGGAUGAUAUUAAAAUAAAAAUAAAAACGAGACCUUCAGCCUUUAGAACAAAAGAGAUUAUAAUGCAACUUAAUGUCAUCUAGUCCAAAUUUUGCACUAAGAGAAAUUCACUGCCGGUAAUAUAAUAAGAUAUAUGCUUUUGCUGAGAAAUAUUGGAAACAGAUUUUGUCAGCAUAAAAUGCACUUCUUGUUGGUUGUUAGGUAAUUAGACUUGCUUUCAACUUUCAAGCAUAACGAAUAGUUUAGUUCAACAUGUAUAGUAGAAAAAACAAUAGGCAAAAAAUGGUCUAAAUUUCAAAUGAUUGGUCGACGAAUAUAGAAAAGACUUAGAAUAGCAAUUCAUCUUCUGUAGGAAACAAGUACUGGUCUAUCUAUCAAGUUGGUAAUUUCAAAAAUCAUCAAUACUUCCAACCAAAACAAAUUGAAUUAGUUAAUUGUACUCCCAAAGUAAAAGGAUAUUACACUUUUAGUCACUAAGAGGUAGUUUGACCGGAGAUAUUAGAGAAAAUAAUAUUUGUAUUAGCUUUGAUACUACAUAAUUUAUUGUUUGGUAUACCUAUAUAAUUAAUUAUAUAGAGUGAUACAUUAUAUUCAGUAUUAUUAUAUAUUCACCAUGACAUUAACAAUAUAUACUAGUACUAUUCCUAUAUAUUCUAGUACAGUAUACUCCAAUUGGAUUACAUUUUUUAGAAAUUUAUACGAUAUAUAAUAUAUAUGUGUUAGUAUUUGAUGCAACAAACCAGACAAACGAUAAAUGAAAUAUCAGCAUGAACAUUACUAACCAUAUUAAGUAGUAUUCUUAUGUGGCAUUUCAAUCCCUAAAAGAUAAUAAUUACAUAUAAGUAUAUAACCAUUUAUAAAAGGCAAGACUUCGUUACACUACGACAAAGUGAUAUUUAGUGGGAAUCGAUUUUUCUCUUAGUAUUGCCACAAAAAAAAAUUGCGACAAUAUUUUGCGAUAAUUGAGUUAAUUCAAAGAUGCUACAGUUUUUCACGAUAUUUAUAUAGAAUGCUGAUAGUAAGUAUCAAAAAUUAUUAUUAUUAUUAAAUAUAUUAUAACAAUUAGAAUCUUAUUUUAAUCAAUCAAAUUUUAGUCAUUAAUUCUUGCAUAUGCCAUGUGUCUCACAUCCAAGCAAGAACUUGGGAAAAAUGAAGAAAAGAGAAAUAGAGAGUAACCGGAUCCAUUAUAAGGCAUAUUGUCAUUUGUCCGUAUUUAUAAGUUAAAUUUUAAAAAAAUUCAAACAACUGCCAGUGGCCAUAAAUGAAAAUGAUGCAUCCAGAAAAAUACGUCUGGACCUUCUGUAGUAAGGAAUGGUCUCUUCCAAGUCCAAUAAAAAAGACUGCAAAGUCCAUCCACUACUACUGUAACAUGAGGCUAAACUGCACUCUCAAUACAUAGAAAAAUUAACCAACAAUGCAUUAUCUAUCACACAUUCAUAUCCUGGAUGAGAUAAGAUUCACCAUCUUCCGACACGUGGCACUUCUAUUCUUGUCUAUUAAAAUAAAAGACACUUAGCUCCAAUUUCUUAUCUUUCAUGUGGCCAUUAAAUUUUGUAAUAUCAACAGCCACAUAAUCCAAUGGUCACCCUUCAUCUAAGAUGAGGUUUCCUUUGUUUCUAUCCGUUAGAUUAAAAAAAACGUCUAACACCUUAUCAUUAUAUAAAGGGAGUAAGCCACAGUGUAAUAAGCAUCUUAAAAAAAAAACAAGUUUCUUUGAAGUAAAAAAAAAAAAAACGUUUUAUAGCUAAGUAGUAACGUAAUGGCUUCCUCAAUUGUCUCCUCAGCAGCCGUUGCUACCCGUAGCAAUGUUGCUCAAGCUAGCAUGGUCGCACCCUUCACCGGACUCAAAUCCGCCGCGUCUUUCCCCGUUACUAAGAAGAACAACAACGUUGACAUUACUUCCCUUGCUAGCAACGGUGGACGUGUUAGAUGCAUGCAGGUUCAAAUAAUAAUUAUCAGUAUAUAUAUAUAAAAUUUAAAUUAACUAGUUGUCGUUUAUUUAUAAAAUAAAUGUGUUAAUGUAGGUGUGGCCACCAAUUAACAUGAAGAAAUACGAGACAUUGUCAUACCUUCCUGACUUGUCCGAUGAGCAAUUGCUCAAGGAAGUUGAGUACCUUUUGAAAAAUGGAUGGGUUCCUUGCUUGGAAUUCGAGACUGAGGUCAAUAUCUCCUACAUACUUUUACAUGUGUAAUUUAAUUUGUUGAAGGAGAAAAUAAAUGUAUGUUAUAUUGUUGUGUACAGCACGGAUUUGUGUACCGUGAGCACAACAGCUCACCAGGAUACUACGAUGGUAGAUACUGGACCAUGUGGAAGUUGCCUAUGUUUGGGUGCACUGACGCAACCCAGGUGUUGGCUGAGGUUCAAGAGGCCAAGAAUGCGUACCCACAGGCCUGGAUCCGUAUUAUCGGAUUCGACAACGUUCGUCAAGUGCAGUGCAUCAGUUUCAUUGCCUACAAGCCAGAAGGAUACUAAAUUUCAUCAAACCUAUAAUUAAUUACUCCUAUCGACAUGUUUUUUGCGUUUUGUACCGGUGUAUUUUCCUCGAUUCCGACCAAGUUAUGAGAAAUUAAUAAUGAUGAAUCUUUAAUUAUAUGUUUUUUUGUGGUGUGUAUGAGUUUUAUUAUCCAAACUAAAAAUCUCUCUUUAAAUAUGAAAACGACACAUUAACUACUCCUUUUAUCCUAACAACUUUAGCACAACGAUUAAAUAGCCACCGCAUGUGACAUUAAUUAUCUUAAAUGAAAAGAAUUGUAUCACAUUGAGACAUCGAUUCAAUAAUUAGUGAGAAUGAAAAAGACUUCAUUUUCUGCCUGGAAAAAUGCCGUAACUUAAGUAAGAUUUUUUUUUUAUUUCACAAAUUAGUGAAUUCAAAUCUUACACUUUUGAUUCAUCAAUGUAAAAAGAAUAAAUUAAAAAUCCUAUUAUUUGUAUUAUUUAUGUGAGGCACAAAAUAAAUAUCUUCGUAAGAGUAACCAACCUUCUAGGCUUAUCAUGAUCAGUUGGGCCCUGGAUGUUUACACUUGUGGCCACUGGCCAUGCUCAACAAGGACCGGUCAAUUAUUGUAUUUUGUUGUUAUCCUUUUGUCUUUUUUAUUGGUUUUUUUUUUUAAAGAGUUUGAAGUUUUAUGUAUCGAAUAGUUGAUAUGUUAAUAGUUAUUAAAUACAAAUUUAUAUAUAUAUUCUAAAUUAACGUAUAAUAUACAUAAAUGGUGUAUAAUUUUUUUAUAUUUGACUAACGGCUAAAAUUCAUUUAAAUUGAGCAAGUAAAUGUAUUAUGACCCCUAAAUUUUUUUAGCUCAAACACCAAUUUAGUGAUUUUUGCUUUAAAAAAACUGAAAAUUGUAUUGUUGGUGAUCAGUAGAAAGUGUUGAAGAAGAGAAAUCAUUGUAAGUUUGAAGAAGAGAAAAUACAUAAAACUCCCCCCUAAACUUGGCAGUACAACUUACUUUAGCACUUAAACUACACAGGCUUUUAAUAUCCCCAUUAACAUCUUUGAAGUGAAUUAAAUACAACUCUAAAUACUGACUCCUCCACAGCGAUAGCACUACUGGAGCAUGACCAUUCGCAAUACACUAACAUUAUAUCUGAAUGCAGGUCACUAAUGCAGCAGGGGAAUACCAAAACCACUCCACACAUUCAGGGAGUAGAACAAGGUGGCGGACAUACUGGCUAAAAUGGGUAGGACAAUACAAUCCAACAGCGGGAGGAUGCAGAUUUUGGAAGCCCCACCACAUUAUGCCUUCAAAGCAUGGGAAGCUGACAAGAAUGGGCUUUAUUUUGAUAGAAUGGUAGUAGUAACUAGUCCCAACGAGACAACGGAGAAUCCCCCUAUUUCAAACUAUGUAAUGAACAAUGAAGUCCGUGUGCUUCACCUUUAAGCUUUUUAUAUAAUUACUCUAUUUCUAUCAAAAACAAAUAAAUACAACCCUGAGAAUAGAAUACCACUCUCACCUGUCACAUCAUAACCAUGUAAGCACCACGUCAUUAAUUUUCAAUCUUUUUUUUGCUUAUUCACCUUUUCUCUUAACCAUUUUCUUAAAAUUUAUUACACUAAUCAAUUAAUUUAAAAUACAUUUUAAAAUCAAAAUUGCCCCAUCUUCUUCCACCCCUUCUCUUCUACCCCCCCCCCCCUACUCUUUC